GUCUCAGCUCUUGUACUGCAGCGGCAUGGUCCUGGUUCCAUUUUUGUUGCUCUUCCAUUAGUCUUCCAUGUUCUGCUUGCGUGUUUUGGAUGUCGAGGAGGGUGUUGUCGGUACGGGUGAAGAAAGCACCGGCCUCUUGAUAGUAGUCAUUCGUGAAAGCGUAGGAGGCGUCGGAGUAUCGUCCUGCAUCAAAUUGGGGCGGAGGUCU
This 208-nucleotide long non-coding RNA is filed under the name Sorghum bicolor (sorghum). RNAcentral's name for it is "long non-coding RNA (SBIC_LNC014508)". The record is from RNAcentral. Lineage: Eukaryota; Viridiplantae; Streptophyta; Magnoliopsida; Poales; Poaceae.